This 227-nucleotide ribosomal RNA is filed under the name uncultured prokaryote. RNAcentral describes it as "partial 16S ribosomal RNA". It matches the Rfam family "Bacterial small subunit ribosomal RNA", at positions 525 to 751 of the family's 1533-position model. The record is from RNAcentral.
ACGUAGGGUGCAAGCGUUAAUCGGAAUUACUGGGCGUAAAGCGUGCGCAGGCGGUUGUGCAAGACAGAUGUGAAAUCCCCGGGCUUAACCUGGGAACUGCAUUUGUGACUGCACGGCUAGAGUGUGUCAGAGGGGGGUAGAAUUCCACGUGUAGCAGUGAAAUGCGUAGAUAUCGAGAGGAACACCAGUGGCGAAGGCGGGUCCCUGGACAACACCUGACACUGAGG